RNAcentral lists this ribosomal RNA (460 nucleotides) under uncultured bacterium. RNAcentral's name for it is "partial 16S ribosomal RNA". It matches the Rfam family "Bacterial small subunit ribosomal RNA", at positions 338 to 795 of the family's 1533-position model. The record is from RNAcentral.
CCUACGGGAGGCAGCAGUGAGGAAUAUUGGUCAAUGGGCUUACGCCUGAACCAGCCAAGUCGCGUGAGGGAAGACUGCCCUAUGGGUUGUAAACCUCUUUUGUCAGGGAGCAACGCCGGCUACGUGUAGCCGGACUGAGAGUACCUGAAGAAAAAGCAUCGGCUAACUCCGUGCCAGCAGCCGCGGUAAUACGGAGGAUGCGAGCGUUAUCCGGAUUUAUUGGGUUUAAAGGGUGCGUAGGCGGAAUGCCAAGUCAGCGGUAAAAGCGCGGGGCUCAACCUCGCUCCGCCGUUGAACCUGGCGUUCUUGAGUGGGCGAGAAGUAUGCGGAAUGCGUGGUGUAGCGGUGAAAUGCAUAGAUAUCACGCAGAACUCCGAUUGCGAAGGCAGCAUACCGGCGCCCAACUGACGCUGAAGCACGAAAGCGUGGGUAUCGAACAGGAUUAGAUACCCCAGUAGUC